AUGUCCCAAGUGCCGAACGCCGAGCGCGACGGCUUCACCUGCGGCACGCUGUUCACGUGCCUCUGCCUCCCAGGACUCUCCAAGAAGAAGCCGGAGGAAACCGGCGAGAGUCGGCAGCCAGCGGCGCCGGAACAGGACCGGCGCACGGAGCAGGAACCCCCGCAGGUGCUGCUAACCCGCGCGGCGUCCCUGGAGAAGCUCGAGUGCUCCUCGCUCUACUCCGGCAGCAACAUCGUCUUCGACUUCCUGGUGGAGCCGGGGGGAAGGGACGACCGUGGCGCCGUCCAUGGAUACUGCCCGUCGCCGUGCUUCGACCUGCCGGUGGAGCUGAUAGGGGCCGGCGAACGAUGCGGCGUCGUCGCCAACGACGCGCCGGUCACGUCCGCCUUCGUGUUCGACGGCCACCGAGAUGGCGCAGCUCUGAAGAGGAUGGCGUCGUGCCUGGCGUCCAGCGUACCGACGGGCGGCGAGGCGCGGCCGACGCAUCUCGUGAGGUUCCUGUCCGCGUCGGGUUGUGCCGUGCCGGUGCGGCCUCCCGUGACGUCUUUCGGUGGCCCGGCAAAGGGGGGCGGCGGUUGA
RNAcentral lists this ribosomal RNA (579 nucleotides) under Triticum aestivum (bread wheat). RNAcentral's name for it is "partial small subunit ribosomal RNA". The record is from RNAcentral. Lineage: Eukaryota; Viridiplantae; Streptophyta; Magnoliopsida; Poales; Poaceae.